UGAAUUCUGUUCCGCAUCCACAAUUUUAUUUUGCCUUUGAUUACAUUUUGUGCAAUAUUUAGGUACAAUUAUUUGAAUUUAGAAUUUAACAUUGCAUGAGGCGAGUUGGGGAUUUGGACAUAGUUAGUAUUUAAUAAUUAGUUAGUAUUUUUGUUUAAGGCUUAGAUUAUAGACAGAGACAUGGACUGGUAACAUUAUUAUCUUGCAUGUUUUGUUUACAUUAAUAAAUUGUACCCCCGCCAGAAGGACGGAAGCACCGAGUCGCUGGGAAGUCUCAAGAGUCAUCACAGAUGCAUAUUGCCGGUCGUCAGGAAGAGGAGUUGCGAAGAGUUGUCCAACGCAGCCGUCAAUGCGUUUUAAUUGAGCUGCUGGCAUUAUGGUCGUGGAGUUCGUCUCGUGGCAGAGAAGUCGUCUGUGGGGAUUGUAGUUCGGACAAUCACCGAAGGAAGCCAGGUGCGUCGCGUCUUGUGGCCAUAGCUUCAGGAUUGGUUGCUUGGGGCCGCCGGUUCGAGAUUUGUUGCAGAGAGCCGCCGCAACGAGAUUGCCAUGGAAAUGGAUGUAAAAAUAGAAUUUGGUACAUUGAGUGGAAUUUAAUUUAAGGUACUUAAGGAGGAAGCUAGUCUGGGGUACAUUUUGUAAGAGCUAGUUUGGAGGACCUUUGUUAUUGUGCUAUUGCAGCUGGAAUGCCGCGGUUUUGGAGUCAUCAAGUUGCAAUUAGAUAAGUAUUAUAUUUUAAAUAUAUAUUUCCCAGUAAUAGCUUGUGUUCCCUUGUUUCAAUAGUUGGAGUUUUUGAAGCUGGAGCUGCGUGCUUGUGGUCAGCAGGAUGGAGCCGUCUAUUAGCACCUGCUACUUGUCUGGCCGGUUUGUUAUUAUUUAUGUGUCCUUGAGUAAUUUUUGUAUCGCAUUCUCAUUUAUUUUCCUUUCAUUACAGGUCAGCGGAGAAAUCGUUGGAGAUACAAAACUGAGGAAAAAUAUACAAUUUAAGGACAAGUUUAGCAGUGAAUUGGUGUGGCAUCAGCGCCACGCACAUGAUCCUUAUUUGUUCUAUGGCAUCAGGAGGUAGAGACGGCAUCGUAGUGUUGUCAAUUUUUUUGUGUUAAGAGGCAAAAAGUUGGCUUUUUUGUUUUACGUUUGGUGGAGCCGUCUCCUCUUGUCUAAUGCAUAGGAUGUGGGUAAGCUAUGUCUGCCGUGGGUGAGGUAUUUGCUUUAUUUGAUUUUAUUUUGUUUAUUUAAUUUGUUGUUGAUUGUUUGCUUUUAGGUUUUAGCGUCAACUCGCUGUUGGCGCUCUUCAAGCUGGAAAUUUAUGGGAGCAGCAGAGUGUCCUGAUCGACGAGGUGGAAGCGUUGUUGGCCCGUCUUUUGCAGAGCAUCAAUUUGAGUAGAUUUCAGCGGUGAUAAUAGAUACUUCAAAGGACCGUGCGGCAAGAAAAUUUCAGGCUCUGGUUGGUUUUUUUCCGUAUCGUUUCGUCAGGAUCAGCUGGAGUGCGUUGUCGUAAGCUUGUUUAUUCGGGUGCGUUGAGGAAAAUUGGGCUGCGUCGAGGAAGUUGAUGACCGUGAAGGAGUUUGGAGCAGACUGACGUGCACUUUACCGUCGGAUAUAGAUAUCGUUAGAAUAGAUAUAAGUAAGAGUAACUUUAAUUGGAUGUAUCCAUGUCAAGAUUGUUAUCUGUUCCUUGAAUAAUUAAGGCCAAUAAACUGUCAAUUUUCUUUUCUAAA
Drosophila simulans is the source of this 1715-nucleotide long non-coding RNA. RefSeq lists it as uncharacterized. The transcript is spliced from 8 exons. The record is from RefSeq and is a predicted model, not a curated record. Lineage: Eukaryota; Metazoa; Arthropoda; Insecta; Diptera; Drosophilidae.